Molecule: ribosomal RNA, 843 nt
Filed under: Stenotrophomonas maltophilia
Lineage: Bacteria; Pseudomonadati; Pseudomonadota; Gammaproteobacteria; Lysobacterales; Lysobacteraceae
Description: bacterial LSU rRNA
Rfam family: Bacterial large subunit ribosomal RNA
Source: RNAcentral
GUUAUAUGGUCAAGCGAAUAAGCGCACACGGUGGAUGCCUUGGCGGUCAGAGGCGAUGAAGGACGUGGCAGCCUGCGAAAAGUAUCGGGGAGCUGGCAACAAGCUUUGAUCCGGUAAUGUCCGAAUGGGGAAACCCACCCGCUUGCGGGUAUCCUGCAGUGAAUACAUAGCUGCUGGAAGCGAACCUGGUGAACUGAAAUAUCUAAGUAACCAGAGGAAAAGAAAUCAACCGAGAUUCCGUAAGUAGCGACGAGCGAACGCGGACUAGCCCUUAAGCUGGAUUGGUUCUAGGAAAACGCUCUGGAAAGAGCGGCCAUAGAAGGUGAUAGCCCUGUAUCUGAAAGGGCCAUUCCAGUGAAGACGAGUAGGGCGGGGCACGUGAAACCCUGUCUGAACAUGGGGGGACCAUCCUCCAAGGCUAAAUACUACUGACCGACCGAUAGUGAACCAGUACCGUGAGGGAAAGGCGAAAAGAACCCCGGAGAGGGGAGUGAAAUAGAACCUGAAACCGUGUGCGUACAAGCAGUAGGAGCUCCGCAAGGAGUGACUGCGUACCUUUUGUAUAAUGGGUCAGCGACUUACUGUUCGUGGCAAGCUUAACCGUAUAGGGGAGGCGAAGGGAAACCGAGUCUGAUAAGGGCGCAUAGUCGCGGGCAGUAGACCCGAAACCGGGUGAUCUAGUCAUGCCCAGGGUGAAGGUGCGGUAACACGCACUGGAGGCCCGAACCCACUCCCGUUGCAAAGGUAGGGGAUGAGGUGUGAUUAGGAGUGAAAAGCUAAUCGAACCCGGAGAUAGCUGGUUCUCCUCGAAAGCUAUUUAGGUAGCGCCUCAUAUGUAUCCUC